Molecule: ribosomal RNA, 500 nt
Filed under: uncultured bacterium
Lineage: Bacteria
Description: partial 16S ribosomal RNA
Rfam family: Bacterial small subunit ribosomal RNA
Source: RNAcentral
AUUGAACGCUAGCGGGAUGCCUUACACAUGCAAGUCGAACGGCAGCGCGGACUUCGGUCUGGCGGCGAGUGGCGAACGGGUGAGUAAUGUAUCGGAACGUGCCCAGUAGCGGGGGAUAACUACUCGAAAGAGUAGCUAAUACCGCAUACGCCCUACGGGGGAAAGGGGGGGAUCGCAAGACCUCCCACUAUUGGAGCGGCCGAUAUCGGAUUAGCUAGUUGGUGUGGUAAAGGCUCACCAAGGCGACGAUCCGUAGCUGGUUUGAGAGGACGACCAGCCACACUGGGACUGAGACACGGCCCAGACUCCUACGGGAGGCAGCAGUGGGGAAUUUUGGACAAUGGGGGCAACCCUGAUCCAGCCAUUCCGCGUGUGCGAUGAAGGCCUUCGGGUUGUAAAGCACUUUUGGCAGGAAAGAAAUCGCACGGAUUAAUACUCUGUGUGGAUGACGGUACCUGCAGAAUAAGCACCGGCUAACUACGUGCCAGCCGCCGCAGUAA